GGGUUGUGAGGUUAAGCGACUAAGCGUACACGGUGGAUGCCCUGGCAGUCAGAGGCGAUGAAGGACGUGCUAAUCUGCGAAAAGCGUCGGUAAGGUGAUAUGAACCGUUAUAGCCGGCGAUGUCCGAAUGGGGAAACCCAGUGCAAUUCGUUGCACUAUCGUUAACUGAAUACAUAGGUUAACGAGGCGAACCGGGGGAACUGAAACAUCUAAGUACCCCGAGGAAAAGAAAUCAACCGAGAUUCCCCCAGUAGCGGCGAGCGAACGGGGAGCAGCCCGGAGUCUGAAUCAGCUUGUGUGUUAGUGGAAGCGUCUGGAAAGUCGCAGGGUACAGGGUGAUACUCCCGUACACUAAAACACACAGGUUGUGAACUCGAAGAGUAGGGCGGGACACGUGGUAUCCUGUCUGAAUAUGGGGGGACCAUCCUCCAAGGCUAAAUACUCCUGACUGACCGAUAGUGAACCAGUACCGUGAGGGAAAGGCGAAAAGAACCCCGGCGAGGGGAGUGAAAAAGAACCUGAAACCGUGUACGUACAAGCAGUAGGAGCCCACUAGUUGGGUGACUGCGUACCUUUUGUAUAAUGGGUCAGCGACUUAUAUUCUGUAGCAAGGUUAACCGUAUAGGGGAGCCGCAGGGAAACCGAGUCUUAACUGGGCGUUAAGUUGCAGGGUAUAGACCCGAAACCCGGUGAUCUAGCCAUGGGCAGGUUGAAGGUUGGGUAACACUAACUGGAGGACCGAACCGACUAAUGUUGAAAAAUUAGCGGAUGACUUGUGGCUGGGGGUGAAAGGCCAAUCAAACCGGGAGAUAGCUGGUUCUCCCCGAAAGCUAUUUAGGUAGCGCCUCGUGAACUCAUCUUCGGGGGUAGAGCACUGUUUCGGCUAGGGGGUCAUCCCGACUUACCAACCCGAUGCAAACUACGAAUACCGAAGAAUGUUAUCACGGGAGACACACGGCGGGUGCUAACGUCCGUCGUGAAGAGGGAAACAACCCAGACCGCCAGCUAAGGUCCCAAAGUCAUGGUUAAGUGGGAAACGAUGUGGGAAGGCCCAGACAGCCAGGAUGUUGGCUUAGAAGCAGCCAUCAUUUAAAGAAAGCGUAAUAGCUCACUGGUCGAGUCGGCCUGCGCGGAAGAUGUAACGGGGCUAAACCAUGCACCGAAGCUGCGGCAGCGACGCUUAUGCGUUGUUGGGUAGGGGAGCGUUCUGUAAGCCGUUGAAGGUGGCCUGUGAGGGUUGCUGGAGGUAUCAGAAGUGCGAAUGCUGACAUAAGUAACGAUAAUGCGGGUGAAAAACCCGCACGCCGGAAGACCAAGGGUUCCUGUCCAACGUUAAUCGGGGCAGGGUGAGUCGACCCCUAAGGCGAGGCCGAAAGGCGUAGUCGAUGGGAAACAGGUUAAUAUUCCUGUACUCGGUGUUACUGCGAAGGGGGGACGGAGAAGGCUAUGUUGGCCGGGCGACGGUUGUCCCGGUUUAAGCAUGUAGGCGGAUGUUCCAGGUAAAUCCGGAACGUCACUAACGCUGAGGUGUGAUGACGAGGCACUACGGUGCUGAAGUGACAAAUGCCCUGCUUCCAGGAAAAGCCUCUAAGCAUCAGGUAACAUCAAAUCGUACCCCAAACCGACACAGGUGGUCAGGUAGAGAAUACCAAGGCGCUUGAGAGAACUCGGGUGAAGGAACUAGGCAAAAUGGUGCCGUAACUUCGGGAGAAGGCACGCUGAUGGUAGGUGAAGUGACUUGCUCAUGGAGCUGAAAUCAGUCGAAGAUACCAGCUGGCUGCAACUGUUUAUUAAAAACACAGCACUGUGCAAACACGAAAGUGGACGUAUACGGUGUGACGCCUGCCCGGUGCCGGAAGGUUAAUUGAUGGGGUUAUCCGUAAGGAGAAGCUCUUGAUCGAAGCCCCGGUAAACGGCGGCCGUAACUAUAACGGUCCUAAGGUAGCGAAAUUCCUUGUCGGGUAAGUUCCGACCUGCACGAAUGGCGUAAUGAUGGCCAGGCUGUCUCCACCCGAGACUCAGUGAAAUUGAACUCGCUGUGAAGAUGCAGUGUACCCGCGGCAAGACGGAAAGACCCCGUGAACCUUUACUAUAGCUUGACACUGAACACUGGUCCUUGAUGUGUAGGAUAGGUGGGAGGCUUUGAAGUGUGGACGCCAGUCUGCAUGGAGCCAUCCUUGAAAUACCACCCUUUAAUGGCUGGUGUUCUAACGUGGGCCCCUAAUCGGGGUUGCGGACAGUGUCUGGUGGGUAGUUUGACUGGGGCGGUCUCCUCCUAAAGAGUAACGGAGGAGCACGAAGGUCAGCUAAUCCUGGUCGGACAUCAGGAGGUUAGUGCAAUGGCAUAAGCUGGCUUGACUGCGAGCGUGACGGCGCGAGCAGGUGCGAAAGCAGGUCAUAGUGAUCCGGUGGUUCUGAAUGGAAGGGCCAUCGCUCAACGGAUAAAAGGUACUCCGGGGAUAACAGGCUGAUACCGCCCAAGAGUUCAUAUCGACGGCGGUGUUUGGCACCUCGAUGUCGGCUCAUCACAUCCUGGGGCUGAAGUAGGUCCCAAGGGUAUGGCUGUUCGCCAUUUAAAGUGGUACGCGAGCUGGGUUUAGAACGUCGUGAGACAGUUCGGUCCCUAUCUGCCGUGGGCGCUGGAGAAUUGAGGGGGGCUGCUCCUAGUACGAGAGGACCGGAGUGGACGCAUCACUGGUGUUCGGGUUGUCAUGCCAAUGGCAUUGCCCGGUAGCUAAAUGCGGAAGAGAUAAGUGCUGAAAGCAUCUAAGCACGAAACUUGCCCCGAGAUGAGUUCUCCCUGACUCCUUGAGAGUCCUGAAGGAACGUUGAAGACGACGACGUUGAUAGGCCGGGUGUGUAAGCGCAGCGAUGCGUUGAGCUAACCGGUACUAAUGAACCGUGAGGCUUAACCUUACAACGCCGAAG
RNAcentral lists this ribosomal RNA (2928 nucleotides) under Klebsiella michiganensis. Its description in RNAcentral is "23S ribosomal RNA". It matches the Rfam family "Bacterial large subunit ribosomal RNA". The record is from RNAcentral. Lineage: Bacteria; Pseudomonadati; Pseudomonadota; Gammaproteobacteria; Enterobacterales; Enterobacteriaceae.